Molecule: ribosomal RNA, 1440 nt
Filed under: uncultured organism
Description: SSU rRNA
Rfam family: Bacterial small subunit ribosomal RNA
Source: RNAcentral
CGCUAGCUACAGGCUUAACACAUGCAAGUCGAGGGGCAGCAUUUCAGUUUGCUUGCAAACUGGAGAUGGCGACCGGCGCACGGGUGAGUAACACGUAUCCAACCUGCCGAUAACUCGGGGAUAGCCUUUCGAAAGAAAGAUUAAUACCCGAUGGUAUAAUCAGACCGCAUGGUCUUAUUAUUAAAGAAUUUCGGUUAUCGAUGGGGAUGCGUUCCAUUAGGCAGUUGGUGAGGUAACGGCUCACCAAACCUUCGAUGGAUAGGGGUUCUGAGAGGAAGGUCCCCCACAUUGGAACUGAGACACGGUCCAAACUCCUACGGGAGGCAGCAGUGAGGAAUAUUGGUCAAUGGGCGCAGGCCUGAACCAGCCAAGUAGCGUGAAGGAUGACUGCCCUAUGGGUUGUAAACUUCUUUUAUAUGGGAAUAAAGUUUUCCACGUGUGGAAUUUUGUAUGUACCAUAUGAAUAAGGAUCGGCUAACUCCGUGCCAGCAGCCGCGGUAAUACGGAGGAUCCGAGCGUUAUCCGGAUUUAUUGGGUUUAAAGGGAGCGUAGGUGGACAGUUAAGUCAGUUGUGAAAGUUUGCGGCUCAACCGUAAAAUUGCAGUUGAUACUGGCUGUCUUGAGUACAGUAGAGGUGGGCGGAAUUCGUGGUGUAGCGGUGAAAUGCUUAGAUAUCACGAAGAACUCCGAUUGCGAAGGCAGCUCACUGGACUGCAACUGACACUGAUGCUCGAAAGUGUGGGUAUCAAACAGGAUUAGAUACCCUGGUAGUCCACACAGUAAACGAUGAAUACUCGCUGUUUGCGAUAUACAGUAAGCGGCCAAGCGAAAGCAUUAAGUAUUCCACCUGGGGAGUACGCCGGCAACGGUGAAACUCAAAGGAAUUGACGGGGGCCCGCACAAGCGGAGGAACAUGUGGUUUAAUUCGAUGAUACGCGAGGAACCUUACCCGGGCUUAAAUUGCAUUUGAAUAUAUUGGAAACAGUAUAGCCGUAAGGCAAAUGUGAAGGUGCUGCAUGGUUGUCGUCAGCUCGUGCCGUGAGGUGUCGGCUUAAGUGCCAUAACGAGCGCAACCCUUAUCUUUAGUUACUAACAGGUCAUGCUGAGGACUCUAGAGAGACUGCCGUCGUAAGAUGUGAGGAAGGUGGGGAUGACGUCAAAUCAGCACGGCCCUUACGUCCGGGGCUACACACGUGUUACAAUGGGGGGUACAGAAGGCAGCUACCUGGUGACAGGAUGCUAAUCCCAAAAGCCUCUCUCAGUUCGGAUCGAAGUCUGCAACCCGACUUCGUGAAGCUGGAUUCGCUAGUAAUCGCGCAUCAGCCAUGGCGCGGUGAAUACGUUCCCGGGCCUUGUACACACCGCCCGUCAAGCCAUGAAAGCCGGGGGUACCUGAAGUACGUAACCGCAAGGAGCGUCCUAGGGUAAAACUGGUAAUUG